GAUGAACGCUGGCGGCGUGCUUAACACAUGCAAGUCGAGCGAAGCACUUAUGGUGAUCCUUCGGGUGAUUCAUUUGUGACUGAGCGGCGGACGGGUGAGUAACGCGUGAGUAACCUGCCUCAUACAGGGGAAUAACAGUUAGAAAUGACUGCUAAUGCCGCAUAAGCGCACAGGGCCGCAUGGCCCGGUGUGAAAAACUCCGGUGGUAUGAGAUGGACUCGCGUCUGAUUAGCUAGUUGGCAGGGUAACGGCCUACCAAGGCGACGAUCAGUAGCCGGCCUGAGAGGGUGAACGGCCACAUUGGGACUGAGACACGGCCCAAACUCCUACGGGAGGCAGCAGUGGGGAAUAUUGCACAAUGGGGGAAACCCUGAUGCAGCGACGCCGCGUGAGUGAAGAAGUAUUUCGGUAUGUAAAGCUCUAUCAGCAGGGAAGAAAAUGACGGUACCUGACUAAGAAGCC
RNAcentral lists this ribosomal RNA (462 nucleotides) under uncultured bacterium. RNAcentral describes it as "bacterial SSU rRNA". It matches the Rfam family "Bacterial small subunit ribosomal RNA", at positions 28 to 492 of the family's 1533-position model. The record is from RNAcentral.